AAGAGUAUUGGAGGGAUUGAGGGG
RNAcentral lists this microRNA (24 nucleotides) under Zea mays. RNAcentral describes it as "microRNA miR-3134c". Lineage: Eukaryota; Viridiplantae; Streptophyta; Magnoliopsida; Poales; Poaceae. The record is from RNAcentral.